Molecule: ribosomal RNA, 245 nt
Filed under: uncultured bacterium
Lineage: Bacteria
Description: partial 16S ribosomal RNA
Rfam family: Bacterial small subunit ribosomal RNA
Source: RNAcentral
UACGUAGGGGGCGAGCGUUGUCCGAAGUUACUGGGCGUAAAGCGCACGUAGGCGGCUUUGUAAGUUACAUCUCAAAGGCAGCAGCUCAACUGCUGUAAGUGGUGUAAGACUGCAGGGCUUGAGGCAAGCAAAAGAGUGUGGAACUCCGAGUGUAGCGGUGGAAUGCGUAGAGAUUCGGAAGAACACCCAUGGCGAAGGCAGCACUCUGGGCUUGACCUGACGCUGAGGAGCGAAAGCCAGGGGAG